This 362-nucleotide long non-coding RNA is filed under the name Anas platyrhynchos platyrhynchos (common mallard). Its description in RNAcentral is "lncRNA (ENSAPLG00000018192.1)". The record is from RNAcentral. Lineage: Eukaryota; Metazoa; Chordata; Aves; Anseriformes; Anatidae.
CAAUAAAAUCAGCCUGGGCAAGGCUGCAAAUCUGAGCUGUGUUCAAGUAAAACUGAACGACUUGACUAGGUGUUAUUCUCUGACACCAUAUUCAAAGACUUUGGCUUGAAAGAUCUGUUCUGGGGUACAGCAGAGUCUGCUUAUCUGUACCAGAGAAAGAUGUCGCUGGAGCUGUUCUGGCAUCAUAUUCAUUCCUCAAGAAUCUACUAUUGGCUACUGGAAGAGACAGGAUUACCCUGACCUAAUGUGACAAAUCUUACAUACCUUACCCUAGGGACUGCAGAAGAACAACCCCUGGCAAAGGACACCUGCAUGAGUUCUUGGAAAAAAUAAAAAAUAAAACCAAGAGAAAAAGAGAGUCA